UACGGAGGGUGCAAGCGUUAAUCGGAAUUACUGGGCGUAAAGCGCACGCAGGCGGCUUGUUAAGUCAGAUGUGAAAUCCCCGGGCUCAACCUGGGAACUGCAUCUGAUACUGGCGAGCUUGAGUCUGGUAGAGGGGGGUGGAAUUCCAGGUGUAGCGGUGAAAUGCGUAGAGAUCUGGAAGAAUACCGGUGGCGAAGGCGGCCUCCUGGACGGAGACUGACGCUGAGGUGCGAAAGCGUGGGGAGCAAACAGG
Molecule: ribosomal RNA, 253 nt
Filed under: uncultured bacterium
Lineage: Bacteria
Description: partial 16S ribosomal RNA
Rfam family: Bacterial small subunit ribosomal RNA
Source: RNAcentral